This 572-nucleotide long non-coding RNA is filed under the name Nicotiana benthamiana. RNAcentral's name for it is "long non-coding RNA (NBEN_LNC015367)". Lineage: Eukaryota; Viridiplantae; Streptophyta; Magnoliopsida; Solanales; Solanaceae. The record is from RNAcentral.
UUUUUGAAUUUAUAUGGAGUUCAGUGAUCCAAAAUAGACUUUGUCAGCUGGUAGGGGUAGAGGAUAUGAAAAGAAAAACAGAGGUAAUAUCCUUCAAGGGUUGGCCGGGUGGCAAUUGACUUGAGCCUUGGGGUAUGCUCCCUUUCAAGGUCUCAAGUUCGAAACCCACUGGGUGCAAACAAUUUCUAAGGGCCAUCGGACUGGGUAAAAACUUGAUUUAACCGUGCUGCACUUGCGGGAAAAUCCUUGCCGAGGGCCCGUGCAUCCCCGGAAUUGGUCGGAAGGGCCAUCGGACUAGGUAAAACCUGAAUUAACCGUAGUGCACUUGCGGGAAACUCCUUGCCGAGGGCUUGUGCACCCUCGGGAUUAGUCGGGGCUCAUAGAGACUCGGACACUCGGUCAAAUCAAAGAAAAACAGAGGUAAUACUGGAAGACUAUUCCUUACUCUGUAGAUUGGACAAUGUAGAAAGAAACCAUAGACGCUUUGUGAGGAAAAUGAAUGUAUCUCUUAUAUAAAGUUAAGAUAUCCUUCACAAUUUGUACUUUUGGUGUAAGAAGAAUGUUCAGACUCC